CAGCCUGUCUCUUCAUAAUAGAACCAGCCAACUAAAAGCCAGGCAGCAUGUAGGAAGCUGAACAGUAAUGAGAGAGCAGGAUUGGAUGUGCAAACACCAAUGACGUGAUGAGACAGAAGUUUUCAAACUUGUCUGGUGGAAGAGCCAUAAGGCAGGAACCGGAAGUGAAAACAAUACUGUUUGCCAAAGGCUGAGGGCAUUUCUAUUCUCACUUCAGCAAGUGUCUCAGCAAAUCAUACAGUCACUUGAACCAGAAGCUCACUUCCAAGAGCUCACAUCAUGAUGUACUGCCUCGCAUCAGGCACAGAAGCAAUGGAUUUCACCAGCCAUGGGCUGAAACCUUCAGCACCAAGAGCAAAAAUAAACUCCUCUUUAACAAAA
Peromyscus maniculatus bairdii (prairie deer mouse) is the source of this 381-nucleotide non-coding RNA. The record is from RefSeq and is a predicted model, not a curated record. Lineage: Eukaryota; Metazoa; Chordata; Mammalia; Rodentia; Cricetidae.